Molecule: ribosomal RNA, 940 nt
Filed under: marine metagenome
Description: bacterial SSU rRNA
Rfam family: Bacterial small subunit ribosomal RNA
Source: RNAcentral
GGAAACUUGUGCUAAUACCGGAUAAGUCUUUACGGAGAAAGCUUUAUGCACCAUUGGAUGAGCCUGCACUUGAUUAGUUUGUUGGUGGGGUAAUGGCCUACCAAGACUGUGAUCAAUAGCUGAUUUGAGAGGAUGAUCAGCCACAUUGGGACUGAGACACGGCCCAAACUCCUACGGGAGGCAGCAGUGGGGAAUCUUGCACAAUGGAGGAAACUCUGAUGCAGCGAUGCCGCGUGAGUGAAGAAGGCCCUUGGGUUGUAAAGCUCUUUCGUCGGGGAAGAAAAUGACUGUACCCGAAUAAGAAGGUCCGGCUAACUUCGUGCCAGCAGCCGCGGUAAUACGAAGGGACCUAGCGUAGUUCGGAAUUACUGGGCUUAAAGAGUUCGUAGGUGGUUGAAAAAGUUGGUGGUGAAAUCCCAGAGCUUAACUCUGGAACUGCCAUCAAAACUUUUCAGCUAGAGUAUGAUAGAGGAAAGCAGAAUUUCUAGUGUAGAGGUGAAAUUCGUAGAUAUUAGAAAGAAUACCAAUUGCGAAGGCAGCUUUCUGGAUCAUUACUGACACUGAGGAACGAAAGCAUGGGUAGCGAAGAGGAUUAGAUACCCUCGUAGUCCAUGCCGUAAACGAUGUGUGUUAGACGUUGGAAAUUUAUUUUCAGUGUCGCAGCGAAAGCGAUAAACACACCGCCUGGGGAGUACGACCGCAAGGUUAAAACUCAAAUGAAUUGACGGGGACCCGCACAAGUAGUGGAGCAUGUGGUUUAAUUCGAAGAUACGCGCAGAACCUUACCAACACUUGACAUGUUCGUCGCGACUCUAAGAGAUUAGAGUUUUCGGUUCGGCCGGACGAAACACAGGUGCUGCAUGGCUGUCGUCAGCUCGUGUCGUGAGAUGUUGGGUUAAGUCCCGCAACGAGCGCAACCCUCACUUUUAGUUGCCAUCAU